GGUGACUAGUGAGGGAGGGUGUGACUAGUGACAGAGUGAGGGAGAGGUGACUAGUGAGGGAGGGUGUGACUAGUGACAGAAUGAGGGAGAUGGUGACUAGUGACAGAGGGAGGGAGAUGGUGACUAGUGACAGAGUGAGGGAGGUGGUGACUGUCACCCCAUCCCUCCCUCUGUCACUAGUCACUCCCUCCCUAACUCUGUCACUAGUCAUCCCCUCACUUUGUCACUAGUCACCCCCUCCCUCCCUCUGUCACUAGUCAUACCCUCCCUCACUCUGUCACCAGUCAUACCCUCCCUCACUCUGUCACUAGUCACCUUCUCCCUCACU
Molecule: non-coding RNA, 328 nt
Organism: Pelobates cultripes (western spadefoot toad)
Lineage: Eukaryota; Metazoa; Chordata; Amphibia; Anura; Pelobatidae
Source: the annotation of a GenBank genome assembly